This 220-nucleotide unclassified non-coding RNA is filed under the name Funneliformis mosseae. Its description in RNAcentral is "partial internal transcribed spacer 2". The record is from RNAcentral. Lineage: Eukaryota; Fungi; Glomeromycota; Glomeromycetes; Glomerales; Glomeraceae.
AGAAUAAAAAUCGAGGCGUCGCCCUUUUUUUAAGGGUGAUCGCGUCGGAAUUGAGCCGUCUUUCAAAUGUUAAUUCAUGUCAAAGUGGCUUAAAAUUCAUCCAUCCGGUACGAUUAAAGCGUAUUUAAGAUCAAUUUGUUCAAGAACGCGCGAUGACGUACCAUCUCAUGUAGUACGUUUGACUUGGCGUCGUCAGGAUCAUUCGUAUACGAUACUCAAC